AUUUGAUUUUUGUCUAGGAUGAAGAAAACAAACAAGAAAAUAUUUUUGGGUCACUGAAAAUGCUUGCCCAGCCAGCACACCCGAGGUGGAUCACACUCCUGGGGCACUCCAGGGAUUUCCAGGGCGCAGAGCACCAAGUUACCCAGCCCUACGGCAGCCACCUGCUCCCAAAGCAAACUCAAGUGAUGAGUUCCAGCUACUCAGCAGGAAUGUCCCGUCCCUGACCUACUCUGCAUCAACCCGGCGUAUUGGUGUCAUUCAGGAACACACCCUCCUCGAACGCUGACCUACUGUGGCCUGAAGUUUUAGUGCCUCUGUGUCGUGAUUACAUCCUGGAACAGCUUUCAGUAGCGUGUCAAAGGACCUGCUGAGGCAGCCGGGGCAGACACGCUCGUCUCAAGUGCAAUUAUAACUCUAUGGAAGGUCAUUUGCCGACAUCUGCCGAAAGGGAGGAUUCAGGACCCCUGAUGGCAUAAUAAAUGUGCCUUCUACCGAAACAAGACCGGGGUUAAGAAUGUAUGCUCCCCCAAAACUUUUGACUCAAAACUAGAAAAAAAUAAAUAUUGUUUCAUCUC
This is a long non-coding RNA of Alexandromys fortis (reed vole), 575 nucleotides long. RefSeq lists it as uncharacterized. The record is from RefSeq and is a predicted model, not a curated record. Lineage: Eukaryota; Metazoa; Chordata; Mammalia; Rodentia; Cricetidae. The transcript has 3 exons.